CACAGUCGUGGUGUUCAUUACAAAUUCAUAAAUCAGCAUUGUCAUCUGUGGAUAACUGUAUACUUGGGGUUCUGGUUGCCACUUCAAACUUAGUGGUGUCAAACUACAAUGAUCAUUUAUUAGUAUCAUCACUUGUGGUUCUGGGGGCUGACUGGGCUCAGAUGGGUGGCAUCUGAGACCCCAUCAAGUUGGAGGUCUCUCUUUCAGGUAGUAGCUGGAGCUGGGGUCACCUCAGGGCUUUCUGCUAAUGCUUGCUGCCUGGGAUAGGAAGACAUGAAAGACCAGAGCAGCUGAGGCUCCUGGUGUUUCUCUCUGAACAUUUACAUGGUGUUCAGGGCUCCAAAAGUGAUGGGGGGAGGGGAGCCAGGCAGCUGCUGGAUUACCUUUAUGACUUAAUCUCUGAAGUUCCAAGGCAUCAUUUCUGUUUCCCUAAAGCAAAUAGCUCAAGCUCACCCAUAUUCAAGGGGAGUGUCUCUAAGGAUUUGCAGAUGUGUUAAACCCCCCAGAGUUACAUUCAAGGGAGCCAGUCCCCACCCUGGUUGCAUUGACAAAACUGUGAAGCUACAGCCCCCAGGCUGGGGAGCAGCCCCUCACCUCCAAGGGCCUUCGAAUCCCUAGAGGGUCUGCCCCAUCUUCAGCUGCCUCCUCCAGUGAUAUCUCAGCUUCACUUCUGUCUGUAACCUAAGAGUGGCUCAGAGGCAUUGGAAGGGACAAGGCCAGGGCUCCUCUAGUGUUGUCCCCUUCAGAAGACAGCCCUUCUGCAGGGUGGUCAGCUGAGGCUCUCUGAUGUCUAGAUCGCUCCCCUCAUCUUCCAGCAAAUGACAACUGUGUGCCCUGGAUUCCCUUGCACCUGCAGCACUAUGAGGAAACUGAGACUCAGAAGGUAAAGCAGCUGCCAAGCAACAGUGGAAGGGCUGCCUCACAUCUGACUCUGCUCUGCAUCUCUCUGACCCCUCAUAGCAGCUCCAGACUCCACAGUGAGAACAGAACUGACCAGCCUGGAUGUCUGGACUCAGCCUGGCUGGGGGCAUCACCAGGGCCGCUGUCCUCCCUCCUUCCAGGGAAAUAAUCACCCCUCUUAUUUUCCCUGAAUCCAUGAUGUGGAGAGAUGAAUAAUAACCCACUGUAAGAUAUCCACAUCCUAACUCCUGGAGCUUGUGAGCAUUGUCUUACGUGGUAAAGAAGGACUUUACAGAUGUGAUUGAGUUCAAGAUCUUGAGACAGAUCAUUCGGGAUUUUUCAGGUGGGUCUUAAAUGCCAUCCAUAUUUCCUUAUAAAAGGGAGGCAGACAGAAGAGAAGGAGGUCAUAUGCCCACAGAAGUAGAGACUGGGGUGAUGUGGCCAUAAGCCAAGGAAUAGUAGCAUCCAGUGGAUUUUCCCCCAGAGCCUCUGGAAGGAGUUCAACCCAGUUAACACCUUGAUUUUGGUCUAGUGAAAAUGACUUCAGAUUUCUGGCCUCCAGAAUGGUAAGAUAAUACAUUUCUGUGGUUUUAAACCACCAAUAUCGAGGUAAUUUGUUACAAAACCAUGGGAAACUAAUACACAUGGACACGUCCAUACUCCCAAAUUUCUCUUAUUUGGUGGAAAUUUUAGUGGGGUGAACAGUGGUCCCCAAAAAUAUAUGUGCAAAUCCUAGCCCCUACUACUCAUGAAUGUGAACUUAUUUGGAUAUAGAGUCUUUGCAGGCCUAAUUAAGGACCUUAAGAUGAGAUCAUACUGGAUUUAGGGUAGGUCCCAAAUCCAAUGACUGGUAUUCUUAAGGGAAAGAAGGGAGAAAUCUGAGACAAAGAGACAGAAAAGAAGGCCAUGUGGAGACUGGUGGAGAUUGGAUUUAUGCUGCUAUAAGUCAAAGAACUCCAGAAAUGACAGAAAAGAUCCCUGUUUUCUGUUUUAUUCUAUGGAUAUCACCAGGGUCUAAAUAUUUUUUUCUUAUUCCAUGGAAAUUACUGGGGACUCAUUUUUCUCUUACUUUAUGGGCAUGACCAAGGUGCAUAUUUCUAUAAGUAGAUCAUUUUUUUAAUGUAUUUAGCCCCAUAUUCUUAUAU
Molecule: long non-coding RNA, 2045 nt
Filed under: Felis catus (domestic cat)
Lineage: Eukaryota; Metazoa; Chordata; Mammalia; Carnivora; Felidae
Description: lncRNA (ENSFCAG00000043066.2)
Source: RNAcentral